Long non-coding RNA from Megalobrama amblycephala (Wuchang bream), 1693 nucleotides. RefSeq lists it as uncharacterized. Lineage: Eukaryota; Metazoa; Chordata; Actinopteri; Cypriniformes; Xenocyprididae. The transcript is spliced from 4 exons. The record is from RefSeq and is a predicted model, not a curated record.
GCAGACUGGAGGUGUCGUAGGGCAGCAGCGGCCCGCGCUGGAUCAACUCCACCGGGCCCUCGACUGUCAGCUCCGGCUCCGAGGACGGCACGCGCCGCCGGGAGAUCUUGGCUUUCACAGCUGCAGGGAGAAAAGAGGGAAACUCCAAACCACAUCAGAAUCCUUCAGUCUGCUGAACUGAUAUGAAUAUGAAUAUCUGCUUACUGAAGUCAUUGAGGCAGAGGGCGUCCAGCACGGUUUUGAGAGACGGCGCUUCCUCCACAGACGGGCAGCUUUGACACACAGGCUGAGGGAAUUCUGCAGACAGGAAUAUACGGUCAACUCAAUGCAUUUACAGGCACAUUUCUGCAUUUGUCAGAUGCGGUCAGUGAGUGUUUGAGGUCUGACCUUUGGAGAAGGCGCUGAUGUGUUUGGGCAGCGGCGUCAGGCACGUGUCGUCCUGCGCUGGGAAGCGGUCGCAGUUCAGGGCUUCGGGCCAAGAGUGUCCGUGACAGGCCAACACGGGAGCGCAGCUCUCCUUCACGGCCACACACACGCUACGACAGGGCUGGAUGAACCUGCAGACGUGAUCACAUACGGAUGAAGAGCGUCUGCACGUACCUGUCCAGGCAGACGGGAGCGACGAGCGAGCAGACGAAGGCCCGGGCCUGCGGGUGGCAGCCGGUGUGGAGCAGCGUCCUCCAGUCGUCCGAGCGAGGAACCGCUUCCUCCAGACUGCUGUGACCCAGCAGGUUGGGUAACCUCAUCUCCGAGUACGGCACGUCCUGGCAGACGCUCAUCUGGUGAGGGACGGGGACGCAGCGUGUGGUCUGGCCCAGGUCGAAGGCCCCGGCGUGGGAGAAGAGAGAGAAGAGGAGCAGCAGGCAGGAGAGAUCCAUGAUGGGUUUCUGCACUGAGGUGUAAAGUUUCCAGACUAACAGACUGUCCUGAAGCCCCGAGCCACAUGUUUGACGACAGUCUGAUCUGACCAAAGUCUGUCUGGAAGACAAAACACAUGAGAUGAGAAAUCAGUCUGGAAUCAUUUUAUGACAAGAAAGCGCACUGAAAUGAUUUUAAAACAGACAGACUAAAGUCCAUCUAAAGUCUGUGGCUCUGUUCCCGUCGGCCCCAGCCUUCUGAGCCACUUUACUGCCCUGGACAGACGGCAGCUACUAAGGGACCUAACUGGGCAAUUAGAGACACAUACCCAUUUAGGAGAACAAUGGGGUCCAUGCGUCAGGUUAAGCACCCCUCUCGCCGCUGAUUACCCCCCGGGUGCGUGUUAUUCUUUCUAACGGCCCUCCUGCCCCUCUCCGGCCUGCUGUUUGGAUUGUUAAUGGGACUCGUUCAGUCAGUCGGCGUUUGAGCUGAAGACAGUGUCUACUUGAUGCACCGGGACUAUAAAUGAAGAACUAGUGCUGUGUUGAAAGAAAACAUAGUGUGUAGUAUGCAAGUAGUGUGCUGCAAUGUUGCAACAUGACCACAAUUCAUGUUAAAAAUGUCUUAUUGUCCGUCUGAUUACAUAAUGAUUUAGGAAUUAUGUUGAGUGCAUUAAGAAUUCUGUGCAGUGCAGUGUUAUUUUUGUAUUAUAGUAUUAAUAUUUUGAAUCAGCUUUUUAUUUUUAUGGUUUUCGUUUUAAUUUUAGCUUAAGUUUUUAGUAAUUUUGCUAUGUGCUUUUGUCAUUUUUAUUCUUUUGCAAGAUUUUUUUAUUUUA